Molecule: ribosomal RNA, 829 nt
Filed under: uncultured bacterium
Lineage: Bacteria
Description: bacterial SSU rRNA
Rfam family: Bacterial small subunit ribosomal RNA
Source: RNAcentral
CUGGCGGCAUGCCUUACACAUGCAAGUCGAACGGCAGCACGGGAGCAAUCCUGGUGGCGAGUGGCGAACGGGUGAGUAAUAUAUCGGAACGUGCCCAGUCGUGGGGGAUAACGCAGCGAAAGCUGUGCUAAUACCGCAUACGAUCUCUGGAUGAAAGCGGGGGACUCGCAAGAGCCUCGCGCGAUUGGAGCGGCCGAUAUCAGAUUAGGUAGUUGGUGGGGUAAAGGCCCACCAAGCCGACGAUCUGUAGCUGGUCUGAGAGGACGACCAGCCACACUGGAACUGAGACACGGUCCAGACUCCUACGGGAGGCAGCAGUGGGGAAUUUUGGACAAUGGGCGCAAGCCUGAUCCAGCAAUGCCGCGUGCAGGAUGAAGGCCUUCGGGUUGUAAACUGCUUUUGUACGGAACGAAACGGUCCUUUCUAAUACAAGGGGCUAAUGACGGUACCGUAAGAAUAAGCACCGGCUAACUACGUGCCAGCAGCCGCGGUAAUACGUAGGGUGCGAGCGUUAAUCGGAAUUACUGGGCGUAAAGCGUGCGCAGGCGGUUAUAUAAGACAGAUGUGAAAUCCCCGGGCUCAACCUGGGACCUGCAUUUGUGACUGUAUAGCUAGAGUACGGUAGAGGGGGAUGGAAUUCCGCGUGUAGCAGUGAAAUGCGUAGAUAUGCGGAGGAACACCGAUGGCGAAGGCAAUCCCCUGGACCUGUACUGACGCUCAUGCACGAAAGCGUGGGGAGCAAACAGGAUUAGAUACCCUGGUAGUCCACGCCCUAAACGAUGUCAACUGGUUGUUGGGUCUUCACUGACUCAGUAACGAAGCUAACGCG